Molecule: long non-coding RNA, 3597 nt
Organism: Corythoichthys intestinalis (scribbled pipefish)
Lineage: Eukaryota; Metazoa; Chordata; Actinopteri; Syngnathiformes; Syngnathidae
Exons: 3
Source: RefSeq, a predicted model, not a curated record
GGCAUAUUUUUGGCCACCAAAAGCCAAGACCACGUUAUCUGAGAUAAAAUGAUGAAAGCUUCUCAUCAUCUAAAUAUUGUCUGUGCGUGCAUUCGCAAACACUUUGGGGAAACCACCAUCGACGCCGUUGGAAGCCACAUCCUGCGCAAAAAGUGCUCCGUCAGUAACGAUCUUACGGACAAACGGUUGUUAGGAUUCGGCUGUCGACUCACCACAAUUGAGCGGGUGGCACCCUUGGCGGGAUCGUCUGCGAUAGAGGGCUAUCCAGUAUUUUGGAUCUGACUUUUCGGUGAAAGUGAGCGGUGGAUGACUGUCUUGGACGGAGGCCAAGUUUGAAUGAAUUUUCGCCGGAGGCGGGCCCCAAAAUGGAACCUUAAGUUACCGAGACGGUUCACGAUGACCGACGUAAUUUUGACGAUGUGGGAAAAUUGUUUUUUGAUGAAACGAAAAAGUUAAAAAUUCUUUUCAGCCCGCUUUGACGAUGUGGUGUUUGGAUAUGCUCAUUCCCCUUUAAGAAAGUUAAGCCCAUGUACUUGCAUGUGAAGUCACGUGGCUAUUAGGAACAUAGACUUCAUAAUGAUAUUGACGAGACACAUUCCCCAGACACUGUGCCACGCCUUCAAAUAGGGGGCCGUCCCACAAGACCCUUCAGUCGGUCGCAGCUAUUCUCAAACACAUGCAGCGAUCCAACACUGGAUUUAGGUUGAAAAAGUAUGAAAGCUGUACCGCAUACAAAUAGGAAGGAUUGCCUCAGGAGUGAUUUGUUCGAGGAUUCAAGGUAAUUAUUAUAUUUUUCCUACCAUGCAUGUAUUUUGAAACGUGAAAAAAAAAUCAAUUCAGAAAAAUUAACUAUCGCAUUGGCAUUAUAAUUCGCAAUAUAUACAUAAAAUAAAUGCAAACUUCUUUUUUUUUUUUUGCAGUUUAACAACAAUCUGUUUUACGUUCAUAUCUAUAAAGAAUUUAGUGAUUUACGCAUUUGUUCACACAGAUUUUCAACGGAAAAAGCUUUUUGUGAUGAUGAGGUGGCACUACAGUGGCUCACAGACUAGCAACACAUUUGACAUAUUUACGUAAAAUAAAUGCCAACUGCCAGUUCUUUUCUCUUUUCGCAAAGAAUCAAGACUGUUUUACGUCCAUAUCUUUAUAGAAUUCAGGGAUUUAAGUAUUUAUUUACAAGAAUUUUCAACAUAAAAAGCUCUUUGUGAUGAUAAGACGGCUCUUUUAACAAAGAAUCGAGACGGUUUUACAUCCAUAUCUGUAUAGAAUUCAGGUAUUUGAGUAUUUAUUCACAAGAAUUUUCAACGGAAAAAGCUCUUCCUUUACAUAUUGCAGCGGCUAAUUUCCUUACGGACUAGCUGCAUAGUUCACAGUAUUUACGUAAAAUAAAUGCUACCUGCACGUUUUAAUAUUUAAGCAUUUAUUCACAAGAAUUUUCAGCGUAAAAAGCUUUGUCUGUGUUUUCACUCGAUCAGCUUUGAGGUCCAGGGGUGAAAGUGGUUUGAAUUUCUUGCCGGAACUCCCCGACGUGAAGGUCGCCACGGAGCCAGAAAUUUUAUUUAAAAAAAUUUUUUUGGGGGGGUGUCAAAACUACUGAAAUGCUAAGAAAACUGUUUUGGUCAGUUAUUUCUGUAACACAUACAAAAACUGAUUUUCACGCAAAAUUGUAUUUUUUCAAUGUUUUGCAAAAUAAAAGUUAACAAAACAGCUAUAACCCCAACCUCCAUCUCCAAAUUUUUAUUUUCCCUCAUUUCCUCACAUACUAAAUGCCAAAUCUAAAUUUUAAGUACUUAAUAACCUAGGAUGUAUAUUAAAAAUUGAAGAUAAUGUAAACAUUCACUUUUUGUUGUGUUUUUAAUAAUAAAGAUAUAAGUAACAUACAUUCAGAAAAAUAAGUACAAAUGACUUAUAUUAUGCAGAGUGAAAUGGAAUAUAUUUUGAAGAUUGCGGAAACAUUGACUUUUUCAAAUCAUAAGGAAAUGAAGAAGUAGCCUAAAAUAAAUGAACAAAUAAAAAUCCAAAGUGCACAUUGACAGCCAAGAUGUUCUAAACCUCCCCAUUAGAGCAAAUAAAACUAAAUAUGAUAAAUAGGCCACCUUAGCUCUUUCCUUGCUCUUAAAGAUUUGAUUCAUUUUCUGUUGCGCCCCCCCUGGCAUCGCUCUGCGCCCCCCCAGGGGGGCGCGCCCCACUAUUUGAGAAGUACUGAUUUAUAGUGCUGCAAUGUAUGCUAGGAGGCAUGUUGGAUGACAGCAGUGUUGACAGCAGGCGGCAGCAGAGGUUGACUGUUGGCCAAAUGAAGCUUCUUGAAGGAAUGAAACUCUUCAGCAAAUUGGUUCAAAGCUUCACGGUGGUUCAUUUGGUCUUAUGACAGUCUUAUGAUGCCGCUGUCUAAUAAAUUUUAUGUAAAUAUCCCAUAAUACUGUGAGGACAGGUGCGGCUUAUAGUCCAGUGCGGCUUAUCUAUGGACAAACCCUGUUUUCAUGUAAAAUUUGGUGGUGGCGGCAUAUCAUAAGGUGUGCCAUAAAGUCCGAAAAUUACGUUAGUUUCCACCACGAUUUGUGGCUAAAUUGUGUACGGCGUACUUCCGGGUUGUGCGCGCGCAUUCGCGCCACGUAAUUGAACAUGCCGGCGUGAUAAUAGAACGGCAAGCUUUAGUCUGACUGGUAUAAUGGAGUCAUGUGAUUGAUGUGACGUCUCAUUGGUGAAAUGGGUAGAGCUACUGUUGGCAUUGCUGGCAAAAAAAAAAAGAAAUCUUAUGUAGAGUAAAGAGGAGUAAUGUAACGACAAGUGUCGCCCAAAGUAGCGGAAUAAGAGUAGCGUUCCUUCUUCACAAAUCUACUCAAGGAAAAAGUAUGGCUUAGUACAACUACUCUUAGAUGUACAUUUUUCUCAAAAAGUUACUCAAUUAAAUGUAACGGUGUAAUGUAACGCGUUCCUUCCCACCUCCGCAUACAAGUCACAUGAUGCUAGCGUUCCAGUUAGCCUGCCAAACCAAAUAUGUGGUAAAACGUUAGACCGGAGUUGAGUUGCAACCACCAAAAGAAAAACAGUGCUGCUAAGAUUGAAGCCACCAAAAAUAAAGAAACUACCAAGUCAAACUAAGCGUGAAAAUAUGCAUAGAGGAAACAAAAAUAGACAUGAAACAUAAUAACAGUGGCACGGGUGACGCUAUGAGGGUUUUUUUUCUCCCACAGAACUGUCAUGGGAUCAUUCACGCAUGAUUAAACAAACACUUUAUGGAGCAAUUUAGAGUGUCACAAUCACUUAGCAAACACGAGCAGCAUAAACUACAAUGUCAGGCCAGGAAAUGCGACCACCUUAAUACCUCUCAUUAUCACAUAAACACACAAAUGCAAAAAUUGUCCUCUAUGAAAAAGUGUGGAAAUUAGUUUGUUUGUAAGCUUCACGUAGAUAAAUGGACAAAAAAUUGAGAGACAGCGAGAACCAAAAGUGGUAUUUGUCAUGUGGCAAAAUUGAUUUUGGCAUGUGUCAUUUUUUUUGCCAAGUGGCAUUUUUUUUUUGCAAUGUGGCAUUUUUUUGUCAUGUGGCAAAAUUGAUUUUGCCAUGUGGCAGUUUUUUUGCCAUGUGGCAAAAUGGAUU